Molecule: long non-coding RNA, 566 nt
Filed under: Vitis vinifera (wine grape)
Lineage: Eukaryota; Viridiplantae; Streptophyta; Magnoliopsida; Vitales; Vitaceae
Description: long non-coding RNA (VVIN_LNC001865)
Source: RNAcentral
CAACGGAAUAUUCCCUUCACGCUGUUGAUUCACCAAGGUUUCCUUCAUGCCGCUCGUCAAAACGACGCCGGAGCCAUUUAGCGCAGUCUGGAACACGGUGACAUUCUUGGGGGGCUGGUAGAACACCGGCAGGACUCCGUUACACAGGUCGACGUCGGAGUAGUAGACUUUAACUGAGCUGUCUUCCUCGUAGUAGAUACUGAUCUUCUUGUUUGGGUUGUCGGCCCUGACGGUGACAUCGAACUCCGGCGAGAUCGACGCUGUCGCGGCCGCCGAGGAGACAUUGAAGCCGGUGAUGGAGAUGUCCUCGACGGAGUAGCUGAGGGCCUUGGGCCGGAUAACGAGGUAGAAAAUACCAGCGGCGAUGGCGAGUAGGAAGAUGAGGAGCGCGGCGAGGCCGAGGAACCAGCAGAGGCAGCAGCAGCAGCCGCUCCGUCGAGGCUUCCGGCCACUGUACUUCUGGUAGCGGCGGGCGUUUUCGGGAGGCGGGUGGCGGAAGAUCUGGUCCUUGGGGAUCUGGAUGACAUAGGUCCCCGCGGGAGGGACGGGAUUUUCCGGCGUUGGAG